Molecule: long non-coding RNA, 730 nt
Organism: Oryzias melastigma (Indian medaka)
Lineage: Eukaryota; Metazoa; Chordata; Actinopteri; Beloniformes; Adrianichthyidae
Exons: 2
Source: RefSeq, a predicted model, not a curated record
AUUACUGAGGAAAUUAGUCUUUAAAAAUCCGUCUUUCUACUAUUAGUUUACUGUGAAUAUAUAUGUAUUUCUAGGUUUCUCGUGUUCUUGGGAUGGAAUGCAGUUCCCUGAUGGACUAGAAAUUAAUACGUUGGUCAUAUAGUGGAUAAUUAGGCAUUUACGCUACAUUUUUAAACUCUAAACAUGUUUAUGUACAAAAUCCUGAGUAGAAAUUUAAGUUCAGAAGACCUAAAAAUGUCUUGAACUUUUCUGGGCGUGUUUACAUUCUGUACACUUACAGUACUUAUAUGUGUGUAUGUGUGAAACCUAAAAAAAAAAACAAAGUGUCACGGCAGCCCCUGCCUCCGCUCCUCCCACCGCUACUGCUCAUCAGAAACUCAAGCUCUCUGCCUGCUUACCUGCCUGCCUUCACGUCCCGUGCACUCACGCUGUGUUCCCGUGACAACGCUGCUACUCCGCUGGAAUUGGAUUCCUGCUUCCUCCACGCUGCAAGUCCUGCUCAAAGCCUGUCCAUAGAUCCUGUUGCUGCUAAGAUCUCUUCUUCACGGAUUACCCCACUCAAGACCGCUACAAACUUCCACAAACUAAGACUCUUCCUCUCCACUCAUUCUGCUCUGCUCUCCGACGGCGCCCUCAUCUGCGGCUUCAGCACCCCCUGGUGUCUGGCGGCGUUACUGCACCCUGCCUGUUUCCAUCUCAUCAUCCUUCAGCAAUAAAUAACUGAACUUCA